This 107-nucleotide transfer RNA is filed under the name Nemania abortiva. RNAcentral describes it as "tRNA-Ala". It matches the Rfam family "tRNA". From Rfam's summary of the family: Transfer RNA (tRNA) molecules are approximately 80 nucleotides in length. Their secondary structure includes four short double-helical elements and three loops (D, anti-codon, and T loops). Further hydrogen bonds mediate the characteristic L-shaped molecular structure. tRNAs have two regions of fundamental functional importance: the anti-codon, which is responsible for specific mRNA codon recognition, and the 3' end, to which the tRNAs corresponding amino acid is attached (by aminoacyl-tRNA synthetases). tRNAs cope with the degeneracy of the genetic code in two manners: having more than one tRNA (with a specific anti-codon) for a particular amino acid; and 'wobble' base-pairing, i.e. permitting non-standard base-pairing at the 3rd anti-codon position. The record is from RNAcentral. Lineage: Eukaryota; Fungi; Ascomycota; Sordariomycetes; Xylariales; Xylariaceae.
GGGCUUGUGGUUUAGUGGUAUAAUACUCCCUUAGCAUCUGCUGGUCCUCGUCCGAGGAGCACACGAGAAACUGGGAGUGGUCCGGGGUUCGAUUCCCCGCGAGUCCA